RNAcentral lists this ribosomal RNA (484 nucleotides) under uncultured bacterium. Its description in RNAcentral is "partial 16S ribosomal RNA". It matches the Rfam family "Bacterial small subunit ribosomal RNA", at positions 30 to 507 of the family's 1533-position model. The record is from RNAcentral.
AUUGAACGCUGGCGGCAGGCCUAACACAUGCAAGUCGAGCGGAUGAAGGGAGCUUGCUCCUGGAUUCAGCGGCGGACGGGUGAGUAAUGCCUAGGAAUCUGCCUGGUAGUGGGGGAUAACGUCCGGAAACGGGCGCUAAUACCGCAUACGUCCUGAGGGAGAAAGUGGGGGAUCUUCGGACCUCACGCUAUCAGAUGAGCCUAGGUCGGAUUAGCUAGUUGGUGGGGUAAAGGCCUACCAAGGCGACGCUCCGUAACUGGUCUGAGAGGAUGAUCAGUCACCCUGGCACUGAGACACGGCCCCGACUCCGACGGGAGGCCGCAGUGGGGAAUAUUGGACAAUGGGCGAAAGCCUGAUCCAGCCAUGCCGCGUGUGUGAAGAAGGUCUUCGGAUUGUAAAGCACUUUAAGUUGGGAGGAAGGGCAGUAAGUUAAUACCUGGCUGUUUUGACGUUACCAACAGAAUAAGCCCCGGCUAACUUCGUG